CAGCCGCCACGGUAAUACGUAGGUGGCAAGCGUUGUCCGGAAUUAUUGGGCGUAAAGCGCGCGCAGGCGGAUCAGUUAGUCUGUCUUAAAAGUUCGGGGCUUAACCCCGUGAGGGGAUGGAAACUGCUGAUCUAGAGUAUCGGAGAGGAAAGUGGAAUUCCUAGUGUAGCGGUGAAAUGCGUAGAUAUUAGGAAGAACACCAGUGGCGAAGGCGACUUUCUGGACGAAAACUGACGCUGAGGCGCGAAAGCUAGGGGAGCGAACGGGAUUAGAUACCCGAGUAGUCCCUGUCUCUUAUACA
This 301-nucleotide ribosomal RNA is filed under the name uncultured bacterium. RNAcentral describes it as "partial 16S ribosomal RNA". It matches the Rfam family "Bacterial small subunit ribosomal RNA", at positions 509 to 808 of the family's 1533-position model. The record is from RNAcentral.